AUCUUUGUACAGUGGCAGUAUCAUAGCCAAUGAGGUUUACUGAGGAGUGAUUAUUGCUAAUUGAAACUAAUGGCAGUUUAUCCUCC
RNAcentral lists this small nuclear RNA (86 nucleotides) under Octodon degus (degu). RNAcentral describes it as "U4 spliceosomal RNA (ENSODEG00000022821.1)". It matches the Rfam family "U4 spliceosomal RNA", at positions 1 to 86 of the family's 138-position model. From Rfam's summary of the family: U4 small nuclear RNA (U4 snRNA) is a component of the major U2-dependent spliceosome. The record is from RNAcentral. Lineage: Eukaryota; Metazoa; Chordata; Mammalia; Rodentia; Octodontidae.